Molecule: ribosomal RNA, 529 nt
Filed under: uncultured bacterium
Lineage: Bacteria
Description: bacterial SSU rRNA
Rfam family: Bacterial small subunit ribosomal RNA
Source: RNAcentral
AAUAGAUACCCGGGUAGUCCACGCCGUAAACGGUGAGUGCUAAGUGUUAAAGGGUUUCCGCCCUUUAGUGCUGCAGCUAACGCAUUAAGCACUCCGCCUGGGGAGUACGGCCGCAAGGCUGAAACUCAAAGGAAUUGACGGGGGCCCGCACAAGCGGUGGAGCAUGUGGUUUAAUUCGAAGCAACGCGAAGAACCUUACCAGGUCUUGACAUCCUCUGCCAACCCUAGAGAUAGGGCGUUCCCCUUCGGGGGACAGAGUGACAGGUGGUGCAUGGUUGUCGUCAGCUCGUGUCGUGAGAUGUUGGGUUAAGUCCCGCAACGAGCGCAACCCUUGAUCUUAGUUGCCAGCAUUCAGUUGGGCACUCUAAGGUGACUGCCGGUGACAAACCGGAGGAAGGUGGGGAUGACGUCAAAUCAUCAUGCCCCUUAUGACCUGGGCUACACACGUGCUACAAUGGAUGGUACAAAGAGCUGCGAACCCGCGAGGGUAAGCCAAUCUCAUAAAGCCAUUCUCAGUUCGGAUUGUAGG